CGAACGUAUGAACCUGUCAUAAUACCGAAUUGGUUGCCGGACCCUUUAUCAUACAAAAUGGCUGCAUUCCGCUUCCUUUUCCGAAGAGCCAUUUUAUACAAUAAUAACCAAGUAGAACUAAAAUUAGAAUUUGAAUAUAUCUUCAAAACGGGUCACCAACACGGUUACCCUAGGCAAGUAUUAGAAAAAAUCCUCCAGAAAACUAAGCAAACAAUUGAGAAUGCUGAUAACCUGUGCGCCCACGAAGAACAAUACGAGACCAUACCCUAUGCAAUGAGGAGCUCCAACCUUAUUAAAAAAAUAGCACAAAAAAAUUAAUAAAAAGAUCACAUACAAACGAUUUCCAACCAUUUACAACCAACUCCGCAAUGACAAAAAUAAAAUCCAUCCUAAUUACAAGUCAGGUGUGUAUAGAAUACCGAUUGAAAAUCACACCACA
RNAcentral lists this long non-coding RNA (439 nucleotides) under Androctonus crassicauda. Lineage: Eukaryota; Metazoa; Arthropoda; Arachnida; Scorpiones; Buthidae. The record is from RNAcentral.